UCUAGAGAGAGGAGGUCUCCUUUAUGAACCAAGGCACGUCCUUGAAGGGUAGGGCAAUGUCCUCCCCAUUGCAUUUCUGGGGAAACUGAGGCCCAAGGAAAAAUAGGAAUUGUUCCCCAGUCACACAAUCAGGGCAUGCUAGAGCUGAGGUUGGCACCCAGCUGAGUCUAGAAGUGCCACACCACUGGUUCUGGCCCUCUGUGCUGUGCUCUUGGCCCUCCCUGCAGCAAUUCAGCACACACUACAGAGCCUGCCCAGUGCAGACAGCAGCAUUUAACCAGCAUCACUCCUGACACAACCUCAGGGAGGGCGGCAGGGCACUGAUGACUGAACAAAAGGAGCACCAGGAAACAGAUCAUAGAAACAGAAAGAGGAACACGUAGGAGGAAAAGGAGGGUGUGUGAGUCGGGGAGCAGGAGGGUACGCGUGGGAGAGGGAAACAGAGAGGUAAGGAGAGGCAGAAAGUUAGAGAAAGAAAAAAGAGAGGUGAUGAGGUGCCCAGAAUGAGUGGAAAGAAAGGAUAAGAUCACCUCCCUCCCCCAGCGAGCUCCGAGCCCCUCCCAGGACAAAGCCUGUGGGGCAGAGAGAGGAUUGCAUCAGAAAGGAGAAGGAGGGAGGAAGGGUGGGAGGGCUGCUUGGGGGAGCAGGGCAAAGGUGGAGUGGGUAUUACAGUCUGUUUCUGGGAGGCAUCUCCUGCCAUCCCACAAUGCCUCAAGCUCCCUGAGUGGCCUAGCACAAACACACCAGCCUGCCUCCCACCGUGAUGUGGCACUUCUAGACUCAGGUGGGCUAAUCUGCAAUGGGACGCUAAGCAAACACCCCCUCAGUCAGAGAGAUGAGAUAGCACUACCCUCCCUGAGUGCCUGACCAGUCCUCCAUCCUCACCCGUGGCUGCCAGAACACAAGCUUCCUUUCAUUCCUCAUGGUCUGUUCUGACCCUCAUCUCCACCUCUCCAGAGUCAUCACUCCUUCCGGCCCAAGGGGAGACGCAGCUGCUGAAAGAACCCGACGCCGCCUCCACUGCGCCACUGUCUGGCCCCUACUCUUCAGCCCUUCCUCAUCUAGAGCUGGAUCUGACACCAAAGGCGUCUUGUGAGCAGUGUCAUGAUCGAGAAUGAAUACUCUGGAUUUGGUGGCUGGCUCCUCGUGAAGAAGAAUUCAAUCAGAUUCCAUUUGAUUAACCUGCAUUGAGAUCCUAGUACAUGUCCGACACUAUGCAGAAAUACUUCACUCCCUCUUCCAUGGCAGACCACGAUGAACUAGGGUUUGCUGUUUUCACGGCUUCUGUCACUGUUGGAGCUGAGACUGAGGCUGCAGCAGGAGCUCCUCUGGCCCCAAGGCAAAAGACAUGUUCUCUGCAUCCCCAGAGGACCCACAGCAACUUCUGGUUUGGGUUAAAGAGGACUUGGGUGACCCCACCCUGCCAGUCAUCCACCCUCUGGCAGCCAGGGCAGCAGCAGGGGAGGGGGCAGGAGGGCCACAGUGCUUCUCUCCCCUGCCAUUUCCUCUGCAGCUCCCUCUCUGGCCCUGUUUUUCAGACCUCUAGUAAUAAAAACAAGCCAAUAAAAUGAACAUGAAAAUA
Molecule: long non-coding RNA, 1582 nt
Organism: Cercocebus atys (sooty mangabey)
Lineage: Eukaryota; Metazoa; Chordata; Mammalia; Primates; Cercopithecidae
Exons: 2
Source: RefSeq, a predicted model, not a curated record